CCUACGGGACGCAGCAGUGAGGAAUAUUGGUCAAUGGGCGGAAGCCUGAACCAGCCAAGUCGCGUGAGGGAAUAAGGCCCUACGGGUCGUAAACCUCUUUUGCCGGGGAGCAAGGGCGGGGACGCGUCCCGGCCCGGAGAGUACCCGGAGAAAAAGCAUCGGCUAACUCCGUGCCAGCAGCCGCGGUAAUACGGAGGAUGCGAGCGUUAUCCGGAUUUAUUGGGUUUAAAGGGUGCGUAGGCGGUCUUUUAAGUCAGCGGUCAAAUUUCGGGGCUCAACCCCGGCCUGCCGUUGAAACUGGCGGG
Molecule: ribosomal RNA, 305 nt
Filed under: uncultured bacterium
Lineage: Bacteria
Description: bacterial SSU rRNA
Rfam family: Bacterial small subunit ribosomal RNA
Source: RNAcentral